This 392-nucleotide ribosomal RNA is filed under the name uncultured eukaryote. RNAcentral's name for it is "bacterial SSU rRNA". It matches the Rfam family "Bacterial small subunit ribosomal RNA", at positions 99 to 524 of the family's 1533-position model. The record is from RNAcentral.
CGAACGGGUGAGUAACGCGUAAGAAAGGACCUUGGGAGGGGAACAACAACUGGAAACGGUUGCUAAUACCCCGUAGGCUGAGGAGCAAAAGGAGAAAUCCGCCCAAGGAGGGGCUCGCGUCUGAUUAGCUAGUUGGUGAGGCAAUAGCUUACCAAGGCGAUGAUCAGUAGCUGGUCCGAGAGGAUGAUCAGCCACACUGGGACUGAGACACGGCCCAGACUCCUACGGGAGGCAGCAGUGGGGAAUUUUCCGCAAUGGGCGAAAGCCUGACGGAGCAAUGCCGCGUGGAGGUGGAAGGCCUACGGGUCGUCAACUUCUUUUCUCGGAGAAGAAACAAUGACGGUAUCUGAGGAAUAAGCAUCGGCUAACUCUGUGCCAGCAGCCGCGGUAAU